Long non-coding RNA from Ahaetulla prasina, 2141 nucleotides. RefSeq lists it as uncharacterized. The transcript is spliced from 3 exons. The record is from RefSeq and is a predicted model, not a curated record. Lineage: Eukaryota; Metazoa; Chordata; Lepidosauria; Squamata; Colubridae.
CACCCUUCCCUGCAUCUCAAAUAUGGAGUUGAAGUUCCAAGGGGCUGUAAGAAGGAGAGUCGCCUCACAGGAUAGAUGGGCAGCAUAAACAUUUAACAAAAGAAAUAAAAUAAAUAAAAAUGAAGGGGGGGGGAGAGGUAACUUAACUCUGUAACCCCUGCAGCUUCUUUCAGUCACAGUGCCUUUCAAAGGAUGUCUUGCCUAUUUGACACUUUGAGGUGUCCAGUAGCAGUAGUUCAAUCAAUCGAUCAAUCAACCAAUCAGAAUAGAGUUGGAAGGGACCUUGGCGGUCUUCUAAUCCAACCCCCUGCUUAAGCAAUCCAACCCCCUGCCCAAUACCAUUUCAGACAAGUGACUGUCUAGUCUCUUCUAAAAAACCUCUGGUGAUGAAGCACCCACAACUUCCAAAGAUGGCCAAUACCUUAUAGUGACCCCUUCCCACUUUUUUUUCCCUGCAGCCCUGGUUUGCUAGACAUUUGGUUAAGAGCAUCCUUGUCAGACUUCUGUGCUUGCAAUACUCAUAAAAGCCGACAAAGUUUUGCCUCUGGAAUUUUGAUUUUUUUUUUCAUACCUUAACCAUAAACUCCCUUAUAAAGCAAUUCAACUGGGAUUUGGAAAACAAAAUAUGUUUAUUUUUGCUGAGAGACAAAGAAUGAUAUGGUAAUGCCAAGUUACUGGAGAGCCACUAAGACCUGAAUUGAUGUACGAAGCGAAGGAUAAAGUUGAGAAGCCCAUGAAAAAUUCUGAAGUAUGCCAAUGCCAAGUUGAUAAUUUUGGAAGCAGGCAACAAAGCAAAUCUAUCAAUAUACUCUUAGCGUUCUUGGCAUAGAUCAGCUGGGUCAUGAGGAAUGAAGAAGCAUAUCAUACCAAUCCAAGAUUCUUGAGGAAGGCAUUUAUGACUCUUCAUCAGCAUGGACUGAGAUCAUGAUGGAAAAUGUCAUAUCUAUUCUCAGGUAGUAUGUAUGUAUGUAUGUAUGUAUGUAUGUUUGUUUGUUUGUUUGUUUGUUUUGUUUGGGUACGCUUAUAUUUAUGUAGGAUUAAGCGCAUUUGUAAUUGAAAGUUUAUGAAAAAGGACCUGUGGCUAUUACAUUUUGAUUUGGACCAACCCUUAAAUUAAAACUUCAUCUCAAGAUGGAAGGUCAAAUAUACUGGCAUCUGUCCAAUACAAACUUUAUGAUUCUAUGAAGGAGUCUACCCCACUUGAAUUUCUUAGUGUAGUAGAUACUGUGUCAUAUUUGAGGGGCUGCCACAGAGAGGAGAGGGUCAAGCUAUUUUCCAAAGCACUUGAAAGCCGGACAAGGAAUAAUGGAUGAAAACUGAACAAGGAGAGAUUCAACCUGGAAAUAAGGAGAAAUUUUCUCACAAUCAACAGCUUGCUUUCAGAAGUUGUGGGAGCUUCGUCACUGGAAGUUUUCAAGAAGACACUGGACUGCCAUCUGUCAGAAAUGAUGUAGGGUCUCCUGCUUGGGUGGGGGGUUGAGCUAGAUGGCCUACAAAGUCCCUUCCAACUCUGUUAAUCUGUUAUCUGUUAUUUAUCUUGUUUGACUGGAGCAAAGCAGUAUAUAUUCCAUUUAUCAUGAGUGAAUUAUUACAACUUAUCUUCAGAAAGAAUUGCAAAGAGAAGCAAGGAAAAAUAGAGAUGAGCUAAUUUCUGUUUCAUGAUAGUUACCUUUAAGGUGUAAGAAAGUACAACAAACAACUUAUAAGAAUGCAAAGUACUGCAUACUAUGCAAUGAUUUUCUAAUUUUUGGUUAUUUUAAAGAUUUUUUAAAUGGUUGGAGUGAGUGGUAUAAUGAUUUGCUCUAUAUGCUUCCACUUUAAGGAUAAAUAUGAUCCUUUGCAUAAAACAUUGUGCCACCUGUAGCAUGCCAUGCAUGUAGCAUGACAAAUCCAAAUUAUAAUUUGUCAGCAUUUCAGGGACAUCUACCGCUGAAAGACACAACUAUGAAAUCCUGGGGCUGGGAGGAAGACAACACUUAGCAUAUAAUUCUCAAUGUGCCUAAUCUUCAUACAAUUCUCACAAAGUAGGUUUGUGUCAAGAAUGUGUGUUUAUCGGCAAUUCCAAUUUUAUUUUUCAUUUGCUAGUUCAGUGUAACAUUUACUGUGCGUUAAGUGCUUCAUCACAUCAAUAAAAAAGCAAA